Molecule: long non-coding RNA, 4213 nt
Organism: Triticum dicoccoides
Lineage: Eukaryota; Viridiplantae; Streptophyta; Magnoliopsida; Poales; Poaceae
Exons: 5
Source: RefSeq, a predicted model, not a curated record
CCCAACACGCGACCUUUCCUCUCGCUCUCGUUUCCUCUCCCAUGUAACCCGCGUCUCCCCUGUCAAGCCGCCGCCUCCUCUCCCUUCCCUCACAGCACCUUCUCUCUCUCGUCAUCCUCGCCUUCGACAGCCGCACGCGGAGGAGGUCACCGGCGCCCGCAUCCUCGGGUCCCCGCCGCCGAUUUGCCCCGCAGACCUCCCCUUCUUCCUUUGCUGCCGCUAGCGGCGAUCCCCAAGUGCGACCGUCGAUUGGCGGGCGAGGAAGAGGACCGCGCCCAAAUCGCUUCCAUCGUGAUUCACGUCCACCUCCAACGACCUGCAGGACCCAUGUGGCCAUGUCCCACGAUAUGGCGACUCCCAGGGCGCUGCCGCAGGGACCGACGAGGAAAUCGACCCGAGGUAAGCCCCCAAAUCGUCUCUUCUCCAUCUAUGUCGAGGUAUGGAUUUUCUAUCCACCUCACAAGGCAACCCUGCAUUUUAACUGAGAGCUCCAUAUUUGAAAUCAAGUAAAAAUCUUUAGAGGUCCAGUGUUCCAACAACUGUAUCAUCCAAUUUUCUGACUGGUACGAGGUAAAGAUGGCAGAUGGAGCAGCUGGAGAGGAUAGAGUCCAAGAUGUGUGCUCUGAGAAAAAUGGAUGGUUGAUUUGUGGAAUUUAUGAUAGAUUUAAUGAAUGAGAUGCAGCUGAUUUUCUGGCAGUAACUCUAUAUGAUAACAUAGUAUAUGACCUGUACUUAUUAGAGUGUUGUAUCAAGCAACAAGAUGGCCUAUAUAGCUCAUCAGAGAACUCCCUUAAUUAAUGGGGUUAAAAGUUAAUUCACAUUAGCCAUGGAAAUUGCAGAGAAUGAAGAUUUAAAACUUUCUGAAAGUUUUCAAGCUGGUGUGCUGAAUUGCCUCACUUCUGCUGUUGAGCAAGCUGAGAAUGAUUUCUUAUGCAUGGUUGAACAAGAUAUGGAUGAUAGAUCAGAUUUAGUUUCAGUUGGAUCUUGUGUCCUGGUUGUGCUUCUUCAGGGAACAGAUUUAUGCAUUCUAAAUCUUGGGGAUAUAUAGUAGGGUUGUGCUUGCUUCCAUGCCAUGAAUACUCUAUUGCUGCUGUUACACAUUGCUGUGCUAAUUGCAUAUUCCCGCAGGUGAAUCUCUUAUGGUUAUUGUUUGUUUUUCAUGCCCAUUGGUAUUCCAAGAGUAUCUGUUAUUAUAUUCAAAUUCAUGCUCAAAUAGAAAAUAUCACGGCAAUGGAAUUCUCCUCCUGGGUGUUUUGUAUGCGCCCGCAUUGCAGGAAGACUUCUACCUCAACUUCGUGGAUUGGUCUUUGCACAAUGUCCUCUUGGUCGGAUUGGGGAACUGCGUCUACCCGUGGAAUGCAGCAACAAGGUCACCAAGCUCUGCGAUUUGGGGGCGGACCACACUGUUUGUUCAGUGAGUUGGGCGCAGCAUGGCACCCACCUAUUUGUAGGGACUAACCAAGGCACCGUUCAGGUUUUCAUCUUGCUCCCGUCUGAAAUUGAUCAAAUGGCAUGUUCAGGGUUCAUCAAAGUUUAGGAUGAUACUUCAGUUUAUUUUUACCCAAAGCUUCAACUCAAACAACAAAUAGUACAGAGUACACGCUUGGUUGUGAGAAUGUCACCCGGUUGAUGCGAUAUGAAGUACAUUGUAGAAGUAGAACAAGCAGGAAUUUGAUUCAUCCACUUAUAUAUGCAAUAUGAAGUAUAUAUUGUAGAAGUAGAACAAGUAGAAAUUUGAUUCAUCAACUUAUAUAUGCAAUAUGAAGUAUAUAUUGUAGAAGUAGAACAAGUGCUGCCAUGUUCAAUUUGUUAUGACACAGAGGCUGAAAUAUAUACCCGUCGCUAUCCUUUGAAAUAAUGCCGACUUAGGAACUCCAUACUGAAAAACAUAUUCGUCGCUAUCCAGCUGAAGGUUAUAUAAUGUUUUGAGUUCUAGCGCUUUAGAUUCUGUGGUUCCAGCUUCUUUGUGUAAGAUCUCCACUUCCUCAUUGUCAUCUGUUUCAGUUGCGGCAAUCAAUUCUGCUCUAGCAGCACAGGAGUCCAGCCAUAGCCUUUUGUAACUUGCCAUGGCUGACUCUUGUUCUCUGAGCGCAAUAAGCCCUUCGCAAUCCUGUAUCUGGUCAGUGGUUGCUGCGAUAUCCUUUUCUAUAACCUCUAGAUCACUACCAGCUUUAUCCAACGUCUUAUAUUAAGGUACGGAGGGACUAAUUGCCAACAUAGUUCAGGUUUUCCCUUACAGUAUCUUUUCUAUCAGAAUUUGUGGUUUUAGUUCAUAUGUCAUCUGUUAGAGCAAAAAACACGAGGUUAUUCAGGUUGAGUCCCACUCAAAUUGCUUGAUUUUGGGUUCUAAUUAUGGGCAUUGAUAAAUUCAAAACAGAUAGCUUGCUUAGAGGAAUCCCACAUGGACGAUGUAACACAUGUAUGCACAUUCUAUAGAGUUUUACAUGUGCAUGUGAUUUUACAGUGGAAAUUAGUGUUAUCGCAUACUUUUGUUUUGUUAACUUUUUUGCUGGCAUUACUGUCUAAAAUAUUUAGAUGUUGGUCUGGAGCACCACUCAGAGGCCUUGUUGUCGAGUGGGAGGAUCAGAAGUAGUGGGAGGUGAUGCCGAGUAUUGUCGUAUAUUUUGCCUUUUUCAUGUCAUUUUUGUUUAGCAGAUGAUAUAUUGGUAAUUGCUUGAUGACUAUUUGGAUCACUGAAAUGGCUAAUUACUUCAUGUAUAUGAUUUAUUUGUUGGUCUCAUAUAAUCCCUUUCUCUGUUUCAGAUUUCUUUGGGAGGGGGCCCUGGUGGAUGUGUGCUAUUUUGCGGAUGUAGGCUGAGGGGGGAUUUGUAUCUGCCAUGGUUGGGGUGGAAUAGAUUGACUUGGUUUUCAGGAUUUUGUGAUCCGGUCAGCCGAUCUGCUGCAUAAAAAAAUAUUGGACCAUUCUAUACUCUUGGCUGCUUCUCCUUCAGAGUCUAUGCAGUGUGGUAUCCGAGCCAGCGUCAGGUGCGCCAAGCUCGCCGUCCACACGCCUCCUCUUCAUCUGCAUCCGCAGUGCCAAAUCCCUCCCCAUCCGAGCAGGUAGCACCCAGUUCACACCUUGGAACCGUUCGCUUCGCUUUUAUUCUGUUCGUGUAUCUGUCCUUUCAUCUUUGCAGGUGGGUCAGGCCUCGGUUGCUAUUGUUUGAUUCUGUCGGUCAAAAUUAUGUCAUAGGCACUUCUAUUACUUUGGGUUAGUCCCUGUUUUAGGUGUUUUAGGAUAUAUGGUAGAGGUUUAGGGAUACCUCUUGCCAAGGUUAUAUUAUUUUAGGUUUUGGCGACAGACAAAAAUAUACAAUAUUUAAAUGAAUCUCAGUUCAUCACUGAAAUAAUUAUGAAUAUCAAUCCAGUAAAGGUAUGAUGUACUCAUGACUUUUCUUCUUUAUGUUUGCUGUUCAAGAUACUUAUGCCACGAUGUAAAAUAUUUAUCUAAUAACUUCUCUAUUGCCGUGUAGCUAUAUCUUAACUUCUUGACAAUGCAGUAGAUGAAGUUUGUAAUGUCUUCUAACAUCUUCUAUGUACUAGAUACUCACUAAUUUAAAUUGUGUGAUAAUACCCAAAUGUCUGAAACAUGGAGUAUUCUGUUGUAAGCUGAAUAUUUGAAAUUUCACAUUCCUGUUUCUGGAAAAACCAUGCUAUACUGCUAUCUAACACAAUGCUCUGUUGAUCAGUGUGUUAAUAAUUUCGUGUAUUAUACUCUGUUUACGAAAAACCAUGCUAAAAUCUAAAAAACAUGCUAUACUACUAUCACAUUUGUUGUAUUGGGUGGUUACCAGUUAUUGUUGUGCUGAUUUAUCGCUCUUUGUUGGACAUGUUCGAUUUGCACCAAACCAGUAGAGUAAACUCAUUUCUGCGGCAGUGGAACGAUUAAUGUGCGUCUUCGGCACAUAUGCUGAUGGCCACCGCAACGGCGGGCAGCACGCCGAUCAACACUGAGUUGUUACCAUAAUCAAGGUGGGCGAGAAGAAGAGCUACACCGUGAGGGAAGCCGUUGGCAUGAACGGAUUCGGAUAAGGCCGACUCGUCUGGUCUAGUGACACCACGUGGUAGCCUGACCCUGGUGAUGUGGACCUGACUGUUGCUUUUGAACCAAUAUCAUGUAUGCCAUCUCUCAUGUAAGCUCUAAGACUGCUCCCUGCCGGUUGAUACACACUUGUUAAUAUCUAUGAUGUCAGAGCUCUUGUUUAUUGUUCCA